AUUGAACGCUGGCGGCAUGCUUUACACAUGCAAGUCGAACGGCAGCGCGGGCUUCGGUCUGGCGGCGAGUGGCGAACGGGUGAGUAAUACAUCGGAACGUGCCCAGUAGUGGGGGAUAGCUCGGCGAAAGCCGGAUUAAUACCGCAUACGACCUGAGGGUGAAAGCGGGGGAUCUUCGGACCUCGCGCCAUUGGAGCGGCCGAUGGCAGAUUAGCUAGUUGGUGGGGUAAAGGCCUACCAAGGCGACGAUCUGUAGCUGGUCUGAGAGGACGACCAGCCACACUGGGACUGAGACACGGCCCAGACUCCUACGGGAGGCAGCAGUGGGGAAUUUUGGACAAUGGGCGAAAGCCUGAUCCAGCAAUGCCGCGUGUGUGAUGAAGGCCUUCGGGUUGUAAAGCACUUUUGGCGGGAACGAAAAGGACUGUGCCAAUACCACGGUUCGAUGACGGUACCCGCAGAAUAAGCACCGGCUAACUACGUG
RNAcentral lists this ribosomal RNA (484 nucleotides) under uncultured bacterium. RNAcentral describes it as "partial 16S ribosomal RNA". It matches the Rfam family "Bacterial small subunit ribosomal RNA", at positions 29 to 507 of the family's 1533-position model. The record is from RNAcentral.